CACGUAGGGGGCAAGCGUUGUCCGGAUUUAUUGGGCGUAAAGAGCUCGUAGGUGGUUCGGUAAGUCAGGUGUGAAACCUCCAGGCUCAACCUGGAGACGCCACUUGAUACUGCUGUGACUGGAGUCCGGUAGGGGAGCGUGGAAUUCCUGGUGUAGCGGUGAAAUGCGCAGAUAUCAGGAGGAACACCAGCGGCGAAGGCGGCGCUCUGGGCCGGUACUGACACUGAUGCGCGAAAGCCAGGGGAGCAAACGGG
This 254-nucleotide ribosomal RNA is filed under the name uncultured bacterium. RNAcentral describes it as "partial 16S ribosomal RNA". It matches the Rfam family "Bacterial small subunit ribosomal RNA", at positions 524 to 776 of the family's 1533-position model. The record is from RNAcentral.